AUACUUACCUGGAAAGGGAGAUACUAUGAUCAUGAAGGUGGUUUUCCAAGGGCAAGGCUUAUGCAUUGCACUCUGGAUGUGCUGACCCUGCAAAUUCCCCAAGUGUGGGAAACUCAACUGCAUAAUUCAUGGUAGUGGAGGACUGUGCACACACUCUCCCCUG
Erinaceus europaeus (western European hedgehog) is the source of this 163-nucleotide non-coding RNA. Lineage: Eukaryota; Metazoa; Chordata; Mammalia; Eulipotyphla; Erinaceidae. The record is from Rfam.